UAAGUACCUCGGUAGGUGAGGUUACUACAAGGAUAUGGGUUGCUGCCGUAAAAGAGUGGAGACACUCUGAACUGGUUAGCAGGUUCUGCCGAACUCAAGGCUUAACCUAAUGCAAUUUCACUGCCUUGCAGAGCCAAAACUUGAACGGGACGAUGUGUAUA
This 161-nucleotide small RNA is filed under the name Gottschalkia purinilytica. RNAcentral describes it as "Clostridium purinilyticum Magnesium sequence". It matches the Rfam family "M-box riboswitch aptamer (ykoK leader)". Rfam says of the family: M-box riboswitch, also know as ykoK leader is described as a metaloregulatory RNA that sense divalent metals and function as a genetic control element of genes related to divalent metal transport in bacteria. It was first reported upstream of the B.subtilis ykoK gene and genes with related functions in other bacteria. Lineage: Bacteria; Bacillati; Bacillota; Tissierellia; Tissierellales; Gottschalkiaceae. The record is from Rfam by way of RNAcentral.